RNAcentral lists this ribosomal RNA (433 nucleotides) under uncultured bacterium. Its description in RNAcentral is "partial 16S ribosomal RNA". It matches the Rfam family "Bacterial small subunit ribosomal RNA", at positions 29 to 507 of the family's 1533-position model. The record is from RNAcentral.
AACGAACGCUGGCGGCAUGCCUAACACAUGCAAGUCGAACGAGACCUUCGGGUCUAGUGGCGCACGGGUGCGUAACGCGUGGGAACCUGCACUUAGGUUCGGAAUAACUCCCCGAAAGGGGUGCUAAUACCGGAUAAUGUCUUCGGACCAAAGAUUUAUCGCUUUUGGAUGGGCCCGGGUUGGAUUAGCUAGUUGGUAGGGUAAAAGCCUACCAAGGCGACGAUCCAUAGCUGGUCUGAGAGGAUGAUCAGCCACACUGGGACUGAGACACGGCCCAGACUCCUACGGGAGGCAGCAGUGGGGAAUAUUGGACAAUGGGCGAAAGCCUGAUCCAGCAAUGCCGCGUGAGUGAUGAAGGCCUUAGGGUUGUAAAGCUCUUUUACCCGGGAUGAUAAUGACAGUACCGGGAGAAUAAGCUCCGGCUAACUCCGUG